This 371-nucleotide ribosomal RNA is filed under the name uncultured bacterium. Its description in RNAcentral is "bacterial SSU rRNA". It matches the Rfam family "Bacterial small subunit ribosomal RNA", at positions 527 to 898 of the family's 1533-position model. The record is from RNAcentral.
GAAGGGGGCUAGCGUUGCUCGGAAUUACUGGGCGUAAAGGGCGCGUAGGCGGACAUUUAAGUCAGAGGUGAAAGCCCAGGGCUCAACCUUGGAAUUGCCUUUGAUACUGGAUGUCUUGAGUUCGGGAGAGGUGAGUGGAAUGCCGAGUGUAGAGGUGAAAUUCGUAGAUAUUCGGCGGAACACCAGUGGCGAAGGCGACUCACUGGCCCGAUACUGACGCUGAGGCGCGAAAGCGUGGGGAGCAAACAGGAUUAGAUACCCUGGUAGUCCACGCCGUAAACGAUGAGUGCUAGUUGUCGGCAUGCAUGCAUGUCGGUGACGCAGCUAACGCAUUAAGCACUCCGCCUGGGGAGUACGGUCGCAAGAUUAAA